Molecule: ribosomal RNA, 2923 nt
Filed under: Klebsiella pneumoniae
Lineage: Bacteria; Pseudomonadati; Pseudomonadota; Gammaproteobacteria; Enterobacterales; Enterobacteriaceae
Description: 23S ribosomal RNA
Rfam family: Bacterial large subunit ribosomal RNA
Source: RNAcentral
GGGUUGUGAGGUUAAGCGACUAAGCGUACACGGUGGAUGCCCUGGCAGUCAGAGGCGAUGAAGGACGUGCUAAUCUGCGAAAAGCGUCGGUAAGGUGAUAUGAACCGUUAUAACCGGCGAUGUCCGAAUGGGGAAACCCAGUGUGAUUCGUCACACUAUCGUUAACUGAAUACAUAGGUUAACGAGGCGAACCGGGGGAACUGAAACAUCUAAGUACCCCGAGGAAAAGAAAUCAACCGAGAUUCCCCCAGUAGCGGCGAGCGAACGGGGAGCAGCCCAGAGUCUGAAUCAGCUUGUGUGUUAGUGGAACGGUCUGGAAAGUCCGACGGUACAGGGUGAUAGUCCCGUACACCAAAAUGCACAGGCUGUGAACUCGAAGAGUAGGGCGGGACACGUGGUAUCCUGUCUGAAUAUGGGGGGACCAUCCUCCAAGGCUAAAUACUCCUGACUGACCGAUAGUGAACCAGUACCGUGAGGGAAAGGCGAAAAGAACCCCGGCGAGGGGAGUGAAAAAGAACCUGAAACCGUGUACGUACAAGCAGUGGGAGCACCUUCGGGUGUGACUGCGUACCUUUUGUAUAAUGGGUCAGCGACUUAUAUUCUGUAGCAAGGUUAACCGUAUAGGGGAGCCGCAGGGAAACCGAGUCUUAACUGGGCGUUAAGUUGCAGGGUAUAGACCCGAAACCCGGUGAUCUAGCCAUGGGCAGGUUGAAGGUUGGGUAACACUAACUGGAGGACCGAACCGACUAAUGUUGAAAAAUUAGCGGAUGACUUGUGGCUGGGGGUGAAAGGCCAAUCAAACCGGGAGAUAGCUGGUUCUCCCCGAAAGCUAUUUAGGUAGCGCCUCGUGAAUUCAUCUUCGGGGGUAGAGCACUGUUUCGGCUAGGGGGUCAUCCCGACUUACCAACCCGAUGCAAACUACGAAUACCGAAGAAUGUUAUCACGGGAGACACACGGCGGGUGCUAACGUCCGUCGUGAAGAGGGAAACAACCCAGACCGCCAGCUAAGGUCCCAAAGUCAUGGUUAAGUGGGAAACGAUGUGGGAAGGCACAGACAGCCAGGAUGUUGGCUUAGAAGCAGCCAUCAUUUAAAGAAAGCGUAAUAGCUCACUGGUCGAGUCGGCCUGCGCGGAAGAUGUAACGGGGCUAAACCAUGCACCGAAGCUGCGGCAGCGACACUAUGUGUUGUUGGGUAGGGGAGCGUUCUGUAAGCCUGCGAAGGUGACCUGUGAGGGUUGCUGGAGGUAUCAGAAGUGCGAAUGCUGACAUAAGUAACGAUAAAGCGGGUGAAAAGCCCGCUCGCCGGAAGACCAAGGGUUCCUGUCCAACGUUAAUCGGGGCAGGGUGAGUCGACCCCUAAGGCGAGGCCGAAAGGCGUAGUCGAUGGGAAACAGGUUAAUAUUCCUGUACUUGGUGUUACUGCGAAGGGGGGACGGAGAAGGCUAUGUUAGCCGGGCGACGGUUGUCCCGGUUUAAGCAUGUAGGCUGGUUAUCCAGGCAAAUCCGGAUAAUCAAGGCUGAGGUGUGAUGACGAGGCACUACGGUGCUGAAGUAACAAAUGCCCUGCUUCCAGGAAAAGCCUCUAAGCAUCAGGUAACAUCAAAUCGUACCCCAAACCGACACAGGUGGUCAGGUAGAGAAUACCAAGGCGCUUGAGAGAACUCGGGUGAAGGAACUAGGCAAAAUGGUGCCGUAACUUCGGGAGAAGGCACGCUGGUGUGUAGGUGAAGUCCCUGCGGAUGGAGCUGAGACCAGUCGAAGAUACCAGCUGGCUGCAACUGUUUAUUAAAAACACAGCACUGUGCAAACACGAAAGUGGACGUAUACGGUGUGACGCCUGCCCGGUGCCGGAAGGUUAAUUGAUGGGGUUAUCCGUAAGGAGAAGCUCUUGAUCGAAGCCCCGGUAAACGGCGGCCGUAACUAUAACGGUCCUAAGGUAGCGAAAUUCCUUGUCGGGUAAGUUCCGACCUGCACGAAUGGCGUAAUGAUGGCCAGGCUGUCUCCACCCGAGACUCAGUGAAAUUGAACUCGCUGUGAAGAUGCAGUGUACCCGCGGCAAGACGGAAAGACCCCGUGAACCUUUACUAUAGCUUGACACUGAACAUUGAGCCUUGAUGUGUAGGAUAGGUGGGAGGCUUUGAAGCGUGGACGCCAGUCUGCGUGGAGCCAACCUUGAAAUACCACCCUUUAAUGUUUGAUGUUCUAACGUUGGCCCCUGACCGGGGUUGCGGACAGUGUCUGGUGGGUAGUUUGACUGGGGCGGUCUCCUCCAAAAGCGUAACGGAGGAGCACGAAGGUUAGCUAAUCCUGGUCGGACAUCAGGAGGUUAGUGCAAUGGCAUAAGCUAGCUUGACUGCGAGCGUGACGGCGCGAGCAGGUGCGAAAGCAGGUCAUAGUGAUCCGGUGGUUCUGAAUGGAAGGGCCAUCGCUCAACGGAUAAAAGGUACUCCGGGGAUAACAGGCUGAUACCGCCCAAGAGUUCAUAUCGACGGCGGUGUUUGGCACCUCGAUGUCGGCUCAUCACAUCCUGGGGCUGAAGUAGGUCCCAAGGGUAUGGCUGUUCGCCAUUUAAAGUGGUACGCGAGCUGGGUUUAGAACGUCGUGAGACAGUUCGGUCCCUAUCUGCCGUGGGCGCUGGAGAAUUGAGGGGGGCUGCUCCUAGUACGAGAGGACCGGAGUGGACGCAUCACUGGUGUUCGGGUUGUCAUGCCAAUGGCACUGCCCGGUAGCUAAAUGCGGAAGAGAUAAGUGCUGAAAGCAUCUAAGCACGAAACUUGCCCCGAGAUGAGUUCUCCCUGAGACUUUAAGUCUCCUGAAGGAACGUUAAAGACGAUGACGUUGAUAGGCCGGGUGUGUAAGCGCAGCGAUGCGUUGAGCUAACCGGUACUAAUGAACCGUGAGGCUUAACCUUACAACGCCGAAG